This 202-nucleotide long non-coding RNA is filed under the name Elaeis guineensis (African oil palm). RNAcentral's name for it is "long non-coding RNA (EGUI_LNC055219)". The record is from RNAcentral. Lineage: Eukaryota; Viridiplantae; Streptophyta; Magnoliopsida; Arecales; Arecaceae.
AGGCAGUCCUGAUUAAGGGAUGGAGUAGAUAAUUCUAGAUCGGAGGGAGCAGGGCCUCCUUAGAGCUCUUUUCGUCUUUCUGUCUUUUCAUGUAUUUACUUCCCUUUUUGUCGUUUUGCCUUUCUUUCCUUGGCCUUCCGGGCUUUGUAGCAUGUAUAUCGGAAAUGGAAUGAAAAGGGCAUUUUGUGUUACCUCGUCCGCG